AACCAACGAGCAGAUGGAAGGAAACUGCUUCGCCAAAAUGCAAAACCACAAUACAUUCGAAUGAAGUGGAGAGUAUAGAAUCUUAUGUGGAGAUGACGGCAUAUACCACAGCGAGCAAUGUGAAAGAAUCACAGCAUUGCACAAACAUGGCAAGAAUCACUGCAUCAAACUGUAAAACGUAUGAUGAAAAAUAUGUUACUAAAUUGAGGAAAACGUUGAAGAAGGUGGUGCAACGAAACAAAAUUCUGAAAAGAAAAUUGCGAGAAAAAAAUGUAAAAUUAAAAAAGAUCUUCAAUGACGACCAAUAUUGGUUUCUCGCACAUAUUGUAAUACGCAGAGAGAAGUAGGAUCAUGAUCUUCGAACACAAUAAACAAGGCAUUAAGACUCUAUAUGGCCGGCGGAUAAAAAGUUUAUGACGAGCUACGUCGACAGAACUUACCAUAUCCAAGCAUUCGCACAUUGCAACAUCGUUUGCAGGGCUUCAAAUUUAAGCCUGGUAUCAUGGGCGAUGUAUACAAUAUGUUACAAACUAAAUGGACGAAAUGUCCAUCAAACCGGGGCUACAAUACAACUCCAUAGCAGCAGUCAUUGGUCUACCAACAAUGAAGCUAUCGAAUGGAGCGGAUAAUACUGAAUUUUCAGCUACCCAUAGCCUUGUUUAUAUGCUAUGCGGCGUUUCUUCGAAAUGGAAGCAAACAGUAGGUUAUGAAUAUACAGGCAAUUCAUUUUGUCCGCGACAAAUAAUGAGUAACAUUAUGACAAUUAUUCAAAAGUCACACGAAAUCGGACUAAGUACCCACACAGCACAUGUAGAUACUGAGAAAGUUCUUAGAAUAUCUCAACAGUACAUUACGUAUAUUCUCAUAGCUUUCGAAUAUGUUCUAUGAUGUACUGAGUACGUACUGAGAAUGCACUAAUGUCCGCUUUUUCUCAUACAUAGUAUGUGCUGAAAAUAUACCAAUGGUAUAUACUGAGGAUAUUCUGUUGAUAUACCAGAAUAUCAACAGAAUGUUAUUUGUAAUAUGUAUCGUAUAUCGUAGGUAUAUACCCGAGCAGAAAUUUUAGUAGGAUCCUGAUAGGGGCCUAAUAAAGAUGCCUUAAUGCCUGGUCAGGCACUCAUCAGGCAGC
Molecule: RNA transcript, 1129 nt
Organism: Vollenhovia emeryi
Lineage: Eukaryota; Metazoa; Arthropoda; Insecta; Hymenoptera; Formicidae
Exons: 3
Source: RefSeq, a predicted model, not a curated record